UACGAAGGGGGCUAGCGUUGCUCGGAAUCACUGGGCGUAAAGCGCACGUAGGCGGGUUCUUAAGUCGGUGGUGAAAUCCUGGAGCUCAACUCCAGAACUGCCUCCGAUACUGAGAGCCUCGAGUCCGGGAGAGGUGAGUGGAACUGCGAGUGUAGAGGUGAAAUUCGUAGAUAUUCGGAAGAACACCAGUGGCGAAGGCGGCUCACUGGCCCGGUACUGACGCUGAGGUGCGAAAGCGUGGGGAGCAAACAGG
RNAcentral lists this ribosomal RNA (253 nucleotides) under uncultured bacterium. RNAcentral describes it as "partial 16S ribosomal RNA". It matches the Rfam family "Bacterial small subunit ribosomal RNA", at positions 524 to 776 of the family's 1533-position model. The record is from RNAcentral.